Non-coding RNA from Camelina sativa (false flax), 1182 nucleotides. Lineage: Eukaryota; Viridiplantae; Streptophyta; Magnoliopsida; Brassicales; Brassicaceae. The record is from RefSeq and is a predicted model, not a curated record.
UCAAAUGCACAUAUGAUCAUGUAUAGCAUAUUCAUGUUGUAUGUCUUUAUACCUAGGUUACAAAUCAGGUAAGAAAUGAUAAUCUCUUUUCUCACAUACUUUCUACAAACUCGCAACUCUCAUACUUUUACUAUUCACACUCAUUCUCUUAAUCUCUCAUGUUCAUCAUUCUCCAUCGUUUUACACCGUUUAUUCUUAUACCCCGAUUAUCCUUCAUCUCUCAUUUCUUUAUCUUCUAUUCCCCACGUUUCAACCAGAAACAAUUCCAGAAUUAUACCACUCGUUCUCAGUGGAUUUCUACCGUCAAUCUCUUUCUCCAUUGAAACUAUGUCGCUCUUUCUCACGGAUUUCUACCACCGCCAUUUGUUUUUUCCAGCGAAAUUGUGCUGCUCUUUCUCACCGGAUCUCUCCUGCCAAUCUCUCUCUUUAACAUGACGAAUCGUACUGUCUUCUUCAGAAAUUUACCGUUGAAGAUCUAUUGUUUGUGAGAUUUUUUCUCAAAUUUCAUUUAAAAAUUUUCUGAUGCAACUAAAAAAAAUAUACCUUUUUAAAAUAUAUAUUAUCUUUUGUUGAACAUGCAAUUUUAGAAUAUGCCACGCUAUUAUUUAUGGACUGUCGGCAUGCAACUCUUGUCAAAAACAAGUAGAUAUUUCCAAACUUCAAGAUAUUUCUUUUGAAUGAUAUGUUAUUUAUAUUUGAUUCAUGUCAUUUCACAAAACCCAAUGAUCUUUUGCUAUUUUCCUUGAUUCCGCUUCCCGUAUCUUCUCCACCAUCAUCUCCUCUCCUCCGUAACCACCCCAUCACAACAACAAGUACGCACCACCGGUCCACCACUAUCGUAUCCAGUAUUCCAGUUCAACCACCAUUUGUAUCCUAUACUACGUAUGUAUGUAUCCACCACCGCACCUUUGUUACCUCUUUCGAACUGAUCAACGUCACCUUUGUAACUAUCACCUUUGUAACUAUCACCACCUCUUCUGAUGUGGUGAUCUGUUGAAGCUAUUGCUACUUCUAUAACGUGUAUAGCUUGGUCAACUGUUUAGAUAGCUUAGUCACUUGCCCCUUUUUGGUCAUUUACUUCUUAACACUUUAGGUCAUCUCUUUCUUGUCCUAAAAUUAUCAUGAUCUUUGCUGCUAGACCUCCUUUUUUUGUCAGAUUUUAUAUUGGAGUUUCACCGCAAA